This 274-nucleotide ribosomal RNA is filed under the name uncultured bacterium. Its description in RNAcentral is "partial 16S ribosomal RNA". It matches the Rfam family "Bacterial small subunit ribosomal RNA", at positions 523 to 796 of the family's 1533-position model. The record is from RNAcentral.
AUACGGAGGGUGCAAGCGUUAUCCGGAUUUAUUGGGUUUAAAGGGUGCGCAGGCGGACCUGUCAGUCAGUGGUGAAAUCCCGGGGCUCAACCCCGGAACUGCCAUUGAUACUACAGGUCUUGAAUACGAUUGAAGUAGGCGGAAUGUAGCAUGUAGCGGUGAAAUGCAUAGAUAUGCUACAGAACACCGAUCGCGAAGGCAGCUUACUAAGCCGAUAUUGACGCUCAGGCACGAAAGCGUGGGUAGCGAACAGGAUUAGAAACCCGGGUAGUCC